Molecule: unclassified non-coding RNA, 238 nt
Filed under: Hevea brasiliensis (rubber tree)
Lineage: Eukaryota; Viridiplantae; Streptophyta; Magnoliopsida; Malpighiales; Euphorbiaceae
Source: RNAcentral
UAAUUCGGUAAAAACUGAAUUACAGUUUCUAAAAGAAAGAAUAAUAUUACUAGAAGUAAAAAAUGAAUUUCCAUUAAUUAUGGAAACGGAAGAAAAAGAAGAAGAAACAAGUAGAGAUAAAUAGUCUCCAGUAUAUUAAUAGGAUAGAUCGAAUUAUAACUCACAAAUGGCACACAAAAGUAACCAUAAUUGUUCAGAAAGAAUACUUAUUUAGUACUAUAGCCUUAAUAGACUCAGG